RNAcentral lists this long non-coding RNA (1057 nucleotides) under Homo sapiens (human). Its description in RNAcentral is "HSALNT0139111". The record is from RNAcentral. Lineage: Eukaryota; Metazoa; Chordata; Mammalia; Primates; Hominidae.
GUAAAGGAAAUACGUGAACAUUUGUUGAUUAUUAAUAUGGUUUGGCUGUGUCCCCACCAAAUCUCAACUUAAAUUGUAUCUCCCAGAAUUCCCACAUGUCACAGGAGGGACCCAGGUGGAGGUAAUUGAAUCGUGGUCGGGCGGGGGGGAAGGGGGUGGUCUUGCCGUGCUGUUCUCGUGAUAGUGAGUACCUCUCACGAGAUCUGAUGAGUUUAUCAGGAGUUUCCGCUUUUGCUUCUUCCUCAUCGUCUCUUGCCGCUGCCAUGAAAGGAGUGCUUUUUGCCUCCCACCAUGAUUCUGAGGCCUCCCCAGCCAUGUAGAAUUAGCCAGCCUGUUUUUGAUGAAGAGCAACUGUACUGGAGAGAAAGCCUGUAUUCAUAUUCAUCGUCAUCAGGCAAAUCGAGGAGCUGACUUGCUUAGGAUCAUCUGCUGGUUGAAUCCAUGGAUGCAGAACCCCAGAUUCGGAGGGCUGAAUGUACUUUCGAUAGGUUCCUGAGCAGCAGUGAUUAUAGUCACAGCAGACUGGACAGUUUGCUGGGACCAUCUCAUAAUGUUUGUGUACAUUCCUGUUGUCUUCUACCUCCCAUCCACCGUGUCUCUCUACUGCCUAUAACCAGCCUACAUAAGAUAAAUGUGAUUGGAGAGGAAACUAUCCCCAAUUCUCUCUUCAUUGACAUUUGGGGCUGUACCAGUUUACAUUUUCACCAACAUUCCCACCAUUGUGGUGGCCAGCAACUGAGGAGGCUGAGAUAAGUGGAUUCCCUGAGCCCAGGAGGUGGAGGUUGCAGUUAGCCAAGAUUGCGUCACUGCACUCCAGCCUAGGCAACAGAGUGAGACCUGUCUCAAAAAAAAAAAAAAAAAAGAGUUAAAUUAAAAAAUAAAUAAAAGUCAUUUGACCAUAUAUGUGAUUGUUUAUUUCUUGCUCUCCAUCUAUUCUAUUUACCUAUAUAUCUAUCUUUAUUCCAGUACAAUGCUGUUUUUAUUAUUGUAACUUUGAAAAAAAAUUUUAAAAUCUAGAAGUGUGAUCUUUAACUUUUGUUCUUUUUCAAAAUUGUUU